UUACUUCAGUCUUGAAUCUCCAGUUUCUCUGAAAUAGAGAAGUUUGAAACGAGGAAAAACAGGGGUAAGAUUCCACAUGCUUGAUGCUUAUAUCAAUGUAUGAAUUGUUCUUCGCUUAUAUCAAUGUAUGAAUUGUUCUUCUGGAUUCAUGUUUAUUUAGCUUAUCUAGUUUGAUUGUUGAUUGGAAUAAUUUCUGUGGCUGUUCGAUAUGUUUUGAGUAACUAGGUAGGAUUUCUUUCUUUGAUUAUUUAAUCUCCAUUUUGCGAGCAUUUUUCGUCGAUUACGAUAAAUUUCAGGCAACAUUCUCUAAAUUGGAGCUAUUCGCGAUCUCGGCUUAGGAUCAUCGUUCGAUUUCCAGUUCUAAUAGUAAAUCGAACAUUCUACUUGAAUAUAUUAUUGUGUUUUUCUUUCGGAAGGUCGUUUCGGAAAGCUGGAUCAAUGACGAAUGAGCUGAAUAUAAUUCUUCUAUUUUAAUACUUGCAAAUGUUUUCUUCUUUGAUUUCGUUGGAUACUGGAUUGCAAUCUCCUCUUUAGUGCAUUAUUAUUGGAGUCGCGUAAUGAACAAUGAUUUUGAUCUUGCUGUUUAUCUUCUGUUGCCGGAAGAACAUUCAGCCAGAAAAGGAAAACGGGCAAAGAAAUAAAUCAAAAUGAAAAUUACUGUAGGUUACAUUAAUUUGGGAUGUAGGAGAUACAAUGAGACACUCAACUCUUAAGACUGGACCAGAAAGCACAGUGCUCUUAAUGUUUCACUUUCCCUAUAUUUUGAAGAUUAGGAGUUUGUUCUUUAUGGACUGUGAUUCGAGAUCUGGAGACAAAUUUUAAUCUGGUAGUUAAUCAGUGGCUGACAGAGCCGCAGCUACAAUCUGUGGAAGAUGAAUAGUUUAUGACAUUUGGCUAAAAAUCAGAGUAAUGCUUCAUCUGAAAUUGGUGUUGCUGAGCAUAGCAAAAGCAUAUACCUGGAACUUCAGCGAAAGAUGGUUCACCGACAUGUGAAUUUUAAGAUUGAUGAAAAGAAAAAAGCCCAGAUGGGAUUUUCGAUGAUUUCACUUCUUCAUUACCUGAGAGUGAUUGUAGAUAUGCAGUUCAUGAUUAUACUGCCUGGUUUAUUUUCAUUCUUUCAAACAGUUUUUUCCUUGUUAGAACAGUAAUUUGAUUUGUAGUUUAGCAGUUUCAACCUCUUACUAUUUGAUUAAACGAGUUCAGUUCCUUAUGUUUGAUUCUGCUUUAGUUUAAUAUUCAACUAUUUCAUUAUAUAGCAAGCAUCUUUCUUUAUGUGUUGAAUCUCAGGUGUUAUUUCUAGCUUAGCUAGCAUGAACCGAAAACAUGGAGCUGUCACAUUUCUUAUGUGUUUGGUUGACUUUCUUUCUGAUGUUGUUUCAUGAAAUUGUGUACAAUCAAACUUUAUCUAUGCCAUUGUUUCUUUAACAAGAGGGAUUUGAGAAGUUUAUACAAAGGGUUGUUUUAUACCUAUCUGAGAUUAGUAUUAGUUUGUUAUCAAUUUGCUUCACUUGAUUUGUCCGGUUGAUGUUAUAGCACUAUAAGGUGUUUCAGUAUCAAACAUCUAUAUCAUGGCCGUGAUUGUCUGAAGUUUUCACACUUGAUUUCUUCUAUUUUCUGAACACUAGCAAGCAUAUUGAAUGUUUUAUAAUGUCAUUCUAGUUUUGCAGGCAAAGGAAAUGAAGUAAGGUAUGCAACUAUAUAAAAUAAUCUCGCUCAAGAUGAUUAAUUGAGCGUAAAGCUCUCUUGAAGAACUCGUAGGAUAUCUUUAUUUGAUGUUUACAGAAUAAAGAGGACGAGUACAACUAACGAAACGGAAAUAAAAAAAUUACCCUACUAUUCCCUACAUCAGUUCUUAUGACUUGUUAUAGUUAACACUUUUUUGCAGGUCUCCAGCUUCGAGGGAGUCCUACAUUGGCUAAUUAAGGAUAUAAUCAUGGGUUUAUAAGUGAGAAAUACCUCUCCAUUGGUACGAGGCUUUUUGGGAAACCAAAAGCAAAGCCACGAGAGUCUAUGCUCAAAGUGGGCAAUAUCAUACCAUUAUGGAGGGUCGUGAUUCCUAACAUCCAUUACGAGAUCCAGACAACUGACCCAACUGAGAAGGAUCUUGAAGUCCUUAGAGACCAUGCAAUCUGAUUCUAAGCAUUACACUUGGAUUUGGGCUCGUGACUUUGAUAACCGCUGCAGCAGCAGGAGGGUAACUUGAGCUUCCUCACUGUCGUUAUGCUUCUAAGGAAAGGCAAAGGACGGAUAAGAAAUCCACGAUAAUAAGGGAGGCUUUUGGAGGAAAGGAGAACAACCAACCACUUAUCGAUGAGGGCCUUAUCAAAAACAGAUUAUGAAUCUGAUAGCAACACCAUAAGUUCUCUGAUACCUGACUGUGAAGCAAGAAAAGGCAAAAAUCUGUCAAAUGGUCCCAUGAAGAAAAGAAA
Cucurbita pepo subsp. pepo (vegetable marrow) is the source of this 2429-nucleotide non-coding RNA. The record is from RefSeq and is a predicted model, not a curated record. Lineage: Eukaryota; Viridiplantae; Streptophyta; Magnoliopsida; Cucurbitales; Cucurbitaceae.